Armigeres subalbatus is the source of this 877-nucleotide long non-coding RNA. RefSeq lists it as uncharacterized. The transcript has 3 exons. Lineage: Eukaryota; Metazoa; Arthropoda; Insecta; Diptera; Culicidae. The record is from RefSeq and is a predicted model, not a curated record.
UUUUUGCGUUAUGUAAUUUGUGAAUGAGCCCAUAUUACUAUGACAUAUAGCUUAGCUGGUAGUAGCGCCUUACAGCACUGGUUCCCUUACACGGUUCCGGUUUAGACAGUGGACCUUUUCAAAAUAAUUUAAACAACAAUGUCAUCAACAUGGUACUUCUGUCAUCAACAUGAACAUAGCCACUUCGAGUCAUUCUUCCGAUGAUACACCGAUGACCCUGAAACGGAUCCGGACGAUGAAUUCGAGUCGUUGUGUGUAUGUCUAAGACGGUGAGCAAAACUGCAGUGGCACCGACCAAUGGAUUGCCCAAGGUGCUUUUGUGAAAAUUUAAUGAAUCCUUGCUCGAACUAGCAUAUGGCUUUACCGAAGAUGCUUCUUACAUGGUUCCGAUGCAAGCACUGGACGUCUUCAGAACUCUUAACAACAAAAAUGUUGAUGGCGUAGGCACAAUCAAUUUCGAUGAUUCCUGCAAACGACGACCACUGGACAGGUUUGGUAAAUCACGAAUAAUGUAUAUCCUAGGAGUCCUUGCUGAUGGGUAAAAAUGCAACCGGUGUGACCAAAGUGUGAGGGUGACUGUACAAAUUAAUCUGUGUCCAAACUGACAUGGAUUAGCUGGUAAGUAGGGUCCUAUGUAAGCAGCCCUCCUUAAAUUGAUUGGUAGAGGUUUUUGUUUCCCAGACAUUUCAAGAUUUCCACAAUAAAUUCCCAUAUUCUUAGAAGAACUCAACAUGGAUUUCCAGAAGGAAUUCGUAGACUUCCAGGGGAAAGCCCUAGAUUCGCAUUAGAAAUCUUUAGAUUGCCAAAAGAAAUCUGAAGAUUGAAGGAAAGAAAUCCUAUAUUCCUAAAAUAAAAGUGGAAUUCUCAGAAGAAUUUA